Molecule: small nuclear RNA, 188 nt
Filed under: Erinaceus europaeus (western European hedgehog)
Lineage: Eukaryota; Metazoa; Chordata; Mammalia; Eulipotyphla; Erinaceidae
Description: 7SK RNA
Rfam family: 7SK RNA
About the family: 7SK was discovered as an abundant small nuclear RNA in the mid-70s but a possible function has only recently been suggested. Two independent studies have found that 7SK RNA binds the CDK9/cyclin T complex (known as elongation factor P-TEFb).
Source: Rfam by way of RNAcentral
GGAUCUGAGGUUGAUCUGGCUGCAACAUCAGUCACCCCACUGGUUACCAGGGCUGAUUCCACUCAUCUAGCUGGCUACAUGGGUGUCCACUUGCUCCCGCACCCAUCCAUAUGUAUCCCUCCUGAAGCUACGCACUUGAUCAAAGGGAGGACCUACCCCUAAUAGAGAGGGGCUGGUUUCCUGCUAGA